Schistosoma mattheei is the source of this 45-nucleotide non-coding RNA. Lineage: Eukaryota; Metazoa; Platyhelminthes; Trematoda; Strigeidida; Schistosomatidae. The record is from Rfam.
AUCCAGCAGUCGAGUCUCAAAUAAGACAAAACGCGUGUCCUGGAU